RNAcentral lists this ribosomal RNA (467 nucleotides) under uncultured bacterium. RNAcentral describes it as "bacterial SSU rRNA". It matches the Rfam family "Bacterial small subunit ribosomal RNA", at positions 28 to 507 of the family's 1533-position model. The record is from RNAcentral.
GACGAACGCUGGCGGCGUGCCUAACACAUGCAAGUCGAGCGGAGACAGAUUUGAGCUUGCUUAGAUCUGUUUUAGCGGCGGACGGGUGAGUAACGCGUGAGCAACCUUUCUCUCAGUGGGGAAUAACACAGGGAAACUUGUACUAAUACCGCAUGAGACCACGACCCGGCAUCGGGAUGGGGUCAAAGAUUUAUCGGUGAUAGAUGGGCUCGCGUCUGAUUAGCUAGUUGGUGAGGUAACGGCCCACCAAGGCGACGAUCAGUAGCCGACCUGAGAGGGUGAUCGGCCACAUUGGAACUGAGAAACGGUCCAAACUCCUACGGGAGGCAGCAGUGGGGAAUAUUGGGCAAUGGGGGAAACCCUGACCCAGCAACGCCGCGUGAAGGAAGAAGGUUUCGGAUCGUAAACUUCUAUCCUUGGUGAAGAUAAUGACGGUAGCCAAGAAGGAAGCCCCGGCUAACUACGUG